GGCCCCUUAGCUCAGUGGUUAGAGCACUCGACUCAUAAUCGAUUGGUCCCCAGUUCAAGUCUGGGAGGGGUCA
RNAcentral lists this transfer RNA (73 nucleotides) under Candidatus Enterovibrio altilux. RNAcentral's name for it is "Candidatus Enterovibrio luxaltus tRNA". It matches the Rfam family "tRNA". Rfam says of the family: Transfer RNA (tRNA) molecules are approximately 80 nucleotides in length. Their secondary structure includes four short double-helical elements and three loops (D, anti-codon, and T loops). The record is from Rfam by way of RNAcentral. Lineage: Bacteria; Pseudomonadati; Pseudomonadota; Gammaproteobacteria; Vibrionales; Vibrionaceae.